This 253-nucleotide ribosomal RNA is filed under the name uncultured bacterium. RNAcentral describes it as "partial 16S ribosomal RNA". It matches the Rfam family "Bacterial small subunit ribosomal RNA", at positions 524 to 776 of the family's 1533-position model. The record is from RNAcentral.
UACGUAGGGUGCAAGCGUUGUCCGGAAUUAUUGGGCGUAAAGAGCUCGUAGGCGGUUUGUCGCGUCGGCUGUGAAAACCUGAGGCUCAACCUCGGGCCUGCAGUCGAUACGGGCAAACUAGAGUUCGGUAGGGGAGACUGGAAUUCCUGGUGUAGCGGUGGAAUGCGCAGAUAUCAGGAGGAACACCGGUGGCGAAGGCGGGUCUCUGGGCCGAAACUGACGCUGAGGAGCGAAAGCGUGGGGAGCAAACAGG